RNAcentral lists this ribosomal RNA (492 nucleotides) under uncultured bacterium. Its description in RNAcentral is "partial 16S ribosomal RNA". It matches the Rfam family "Bacterial small subunit ribosomal RNA", at positions 29 to 507 of the family's 1533-position model. The record is from RNAcentral.
AGUGAACGCUGGCGGUAGGCCCAACACAUGCAAGUCGAACGGCAGCACAGUAAGAGCUUGCUCUUACGGGUGGCGAGUGGCGGACGGGUGAGGAAUACAUCGGAAUCUACUUUUUCGUGGGGGAUAACGUAGGGAAACUUACGCUAAUACCGCAUACGACCUACGGGUGAAAGCAGGGGAUCUUCGGACCUUGCGCGAUUGAAUGAGCCGAUGUCGGAUUAGCUAGUUGGCGGGGUAAAGGCCCACCAAGGCGACGAUCCGUAACUGGUCUGAGAGGAUGAUCAGCCACACUGGAACUGAGACACGGUCCAGACUCCUACGGGAGGCAGCAGUGGGGAAUAUUGGACAAUGGGCGCAAGCCUGAUCCAGCCAUACCGCGUGGGUGAAGAAGGCCUUCGGGUUGUAAAGCCCUUUUGUUGGGAAAGAAAAGCAGCAGGUUAAUACCCCGCUGUUCUGACGGUACCCAAAGAAUAAGCACCGGCUAACUUCGUG